This 1318-nucleotide ribosomal RNA is filed under the name Klebsiella pneumoniae. Its description in RNAcentral is "partial 16S ribosomal RNA". The record is from RNAcentral. Lineage: Bacteria; Pseudomonadati; Pseudomonadota; Gammaproteobacteria; Enterobacterales; Enterobacteriaceae.
CGGCGCAAUGGCCUUUAACCACUGACCAAACCCAAUGCGCGCAAUAGACAACCCAGCCAGCAAUACACCGCCGGUAGGAGAGACCAGGUUCGUCAGGCCAUUGCCAAAUUGAUAAGCCAUCACCAUCGCCUCUUUAUUGAUACCAACCAAAUCGCCUAACGGCGCCAGCACGGGCAUAGUGAGCGCGGCCUCGCCCGAAGAUGAGGGCACAAAAAAAGUGAUGACGUUAUGCCCUAAUAGCAUCAGAGUGGUAAACGCAUACUGCGGCAACCCUUCCAGCAUUUCAGACAAACCAAAUAGCAACGUAUCGAUAAUUCGUCCGUUCUCCGCCACCACCAGAAUACCGCGCGCAAGACCUAUGACUACGGCGGCGUAGACAAACUCUUUGCACCCUUCGACAAAGCUGUCGGCCAUCCCGCUAAUACCCAUGCGCCCGACGAUCCCGGAAAACAGCCCCAGAGCCAGGAACACAGAGCCGAUCUCAACCAUGUACCAGCCACGCGUGAUUAGCCCCCAUGAGAUGACGGCCAGCGCCAGCACAAAGGCGAUGAUAAUUACCCGAUCGGCGAUGGAAAAAUGGACCGACGUAUCCUGUAUCGACAAAAACUGCUCGCGGUUGCGACAAUCAUUUUCAUAUACCGGCGACUUUUGCGGAGUGCGUUUAACACGGUGCGCGUACCACAUGGUGUAAGCAAUCGCCAGUAGCGUGAAGACCAGCCAUGCAAUAGCACGUAGCCAAAGCUGCGGAUUUCCCUGAAUACCCGCUACGCCCUGGGCAAUGAGUACAGAGAACGGAUUGGUCAUUGCGCCAACGUAGCCAAUCUGGGUUCCCAGAAAAAGAAUCAGGAUCGCAGUCAUUGAGUCAUAACCCAGCGCGAACAUCAGGGAGAUAAAGAUCGCAUACAGGGGAAUCACCUCCUCGCUCAUACCAAAAGUCGCGCCUCCCAGGCUAAACAAGGUCAUUGCGAUAGGGAUAACCAAAAUUCCUUUACCUGCCAGGCGUUCAGCCAGCGCCACCAGACCGCUCAAUUGCGCCAGUACGUAAAAUAAUGCCAAAAGCGCCACCAACAAUGAGCACAAACGCCACUACGUCGGCGGCCUUGAUAAUCCCCUCCAUCGGCGCGGCCAGUACGGCGGCAAUACCCUGACGUAAAUCGCCCUCGCUGCUGACUUUGUCCAGCAGAUGAUAAGACCCUGGGAUCACUAAUGUUUUCGUUUCACCGCCGGGUAAGGUCACUGAGUGAUAAUCAAAACUGCCGCUGGGAAUACACCAUGUCAGCAGCGCUACUAAUAUAAUAAUGAAGAAAAUCAGAGCGUA